GCAGUGCUAGUUCAGUGGUAGAAUUCCCACUUUCCAAAUAGGAGGCCCGAGUUCAAUUCUCCGCCAAUGUA
This 71-nucleotide transfer RNA is filed under the name Loxodonta africana (African savanna elephant). It matches the Rfam family "tRNA". Rfam says of the family: Transfer RNA (tRNA) molecules are approximately 80 nucleotides in length. Their secondary structure includes four short double-helical elements and three loops (D, anti-codon, and T loops). Further hydrogen bonds mediate the characteristic L-shaped molecular structure. tRNAs have two regions of fundamental functional importance: the anti-codon, which is responsible for specific mRNA codon recognition, and the 3' end, to which the tRNAs corresponding amino acid is attached (by aminoacyl-tRNA synthetases). tRNAs cope with the degeneracy of the genetic code in two manners: having more than one tRNA (with a specific anti-codon) for a particular amino acid; and 'wobble' base-pairing, i.e. permitting non-standard base-pairing at the 3rd anti-codon position. Lineage: Eukaryota; Metazoa; Chordata; Mammalia; Proboscidea; Elephantidae. The record is from Rfam by way of RNAcentral.